GUGUCAGCCGCCGCGGUAAUACGUAGGGUGCAAGCGUUAAUCGGAAUUACUGGGCGUAAAGCGUGCGCAGGCGGUGAUGUAAGACAGUUGUGAAAUCCCCGGGCUCAACCUGGGAACUGCAUCUGUGACUGCAUCGCUGGAGUGCGGCAGAGGGGGAUGGAAUUCCGCGUGUAGCAGUGAAAUGCGUAGAUAUGCGGAGGAACACCGAUGGCGAAGGCAAUCCCCUGGGCCUGCACUGACGCUCAUGCACGAAAGCGUGGGGAGCAAACAGGAUUAGAUACCCUGGUAGUCCACGCCCUAAACGAUGUCAACUGGUUGUUGGGAAGGUUCCUUCUCAGUAACGAAGCUAACGCGUGAAGUUAACCGCCUGGGGAGUACGGCCGCAAGGUUGAAACUCAAAUAAAUUGGCGG
This 411-nucleotide ribosomal RNA is filed under the name uncultured bacterium. RNAcentral describes it as "bacterial SSU rRNA". It matches the Rfam family "Bacterial small subunit ribosomal RNA", at positions 505 to 916 of the family's 1533-position model. The record is from RNAcentral.